GAGUUUGAUCCUGGCUCAGGAUGAACGCUAGCGGGAGGCCUAACACAUGCAAGCCGAGCGGUAUAGAAUCUUCGGAUUUUAGAGAGCGGCGUACGGGUGCGGAACACGUGUGCAACCUACCUUUAUCUGGAGGAUAGCCUUUCGAAAGGAAGAUUAAUACUCCAUAAUAUAUUGAUUGGCAUCAAUUAAUAUUGAAAGCUCCGGCGGAUAGAGAUGGGCACGCGCAAGAUUAGUUAGUUGGUGAGGUAACGGCUCACCAAGACGAUGAUCUUUAGGGGGGCCUGAGAGGGUGAUCCCCACACUGGUACUGAGACACGGACCAGACUCCUACGGGAGGCAGCAGUGAGGAAUAUUGGACAAUGGGUGCAAGCCUGAUCCAGCCAUCCCGCGUGAAGGACGACUGCCUAUGGGUUGUAAACUUCUUUUGUAUAGGGAUAAACCUCUCCUCGUGAGGAGAGCUGAAGGUACUAUACGAAUAAGCACCGGCUAACUCCGUG
This 497-nucleotide ribosomal RNA is filed under the name uncultured bacterium. RNAcentral describes it as "bacterial SSU rRNA". It matches the Rfam family "Bacterial small subunit ribosomal RNA", at positions 9 to 507 of the family's 1533-position model. The record is from RNAcentral.